UUGGUUUAAGCCUUUUGCAUGAUUUAAAAGACAACCUAUCCUUAAUGCAAAGCCAUUCACUUGAUCAAUUGAUCAAGACGAAUUAGAUUUGAGUCAAGGAAGGUUAAAUCCCUCUAAUCAAUGCUAACUUAUCAACCUUCAACUCAUUGAUAAAAAAGAAAAAGAAAAAGAAGAAGAAGAAGGAGAUGGAUAAGAGAAAAG
This 201-nucleotide long non-coding RNA is filed under the name Lathyrus oleraceus (garden pea). RNAcentral describes it as "Pisum sativum (pea) long non-coding RNA (PSAT_LNC037304)". The record is from RNAcentral. Lineage: Eukaryota; Viridiplantae; Streptophyta; Magnoliopsida; Fabales; Fabaceae.